This 253-nucleotide ribosomal RNA is filed under the name uncultured bacterium. RNAcentral's name for it is "partial 16S ribosomal RNA". It matches the Rfam family "Bacterial small subunit ribosomal RNA", at positions 524 to 776 of the family's 1533-position model. The record is from RNAcentral.
UACGAAGGGUGCAAACGUUGCUCGGAAUUAUUGGGCGUAAAGCGCACGUAGGCGGCUUUGUGUGUCGGAUGUGAAAUCCCUCGGCUUAACCAAGGAAGUGCAUUCGAAACUGCGAAGCUUGAGUACCUAAGAGGAUCGCGGAAUUCCCGGUGUAGAGGUGAAAGUCGUAGAUAUCGGGAGGAACACCAGUGGCGAAGGCGGCGAUCGGGGAAGAUACUGACGCUGAGGUGCGAAAGCGUGGGGAGCAAACCGG